AGGAUGUUGGCUCAGAAGCAGCCACCAUUUAAAGAGUGCGUAAUAGCUCACUAGUCGAGUGAUUCUGCGCCGAAAAUGUACCGGGGCUAAGCAUAUUACCGAAACUGUGGAUGUGCACUACGUGCACGUGAUAGGAGAGCGUUCUAAGGGCGGUGAAGCUAGACCGUGAGGACUGGUGGAGCGCUUAGAAGUGAGAAUGCCGGUAUGAGUAGCGAAAGACAGGUGAGAAUCCUGUCC
This 237-nucleotide ribosomal RNA is filed under the name Lactiplantibacillus plantarum. RNAcentral's name for it is "Lactobacillus plantarum partial 23S ribosomal RNA". It matches the Rfam family "Bacterial large subunit ribosomal RNA", at positions 1095 to 1335 of the family's 2925-position model. The record is from RNAcentral. Lineage: Bacteria; Bacillati; Bacillota; Bacilli; Lactobacillales; Lactobacillaceae.